GCGCGUGUAGCUCAGCUGGUUAGAGCGCUCGACUGAUAAUCGUGAGGUCCCAGGUUCGAGUCCUGGCACGCGCA
This 74-nucleotide transfer RNA is filed under the name Patescibacteria group bacterium. Its description in RNAcentral is "tRNA-Ile". It matches the Rfam family "tRNA". From Rfam's summary of the family: Transfer RNA (tRNA) molecules are approximately 80 nucleotides in length. Their secondary structure includes four short double-helical elements and three loops (D, anti-codon, and T loops). The record is from RNAcentral.